RNAcentral lists this ribosomal RNA (253 nucleotides) under uncultured bacterium. RNAcentral describes it as "partial 16S ribosomal RNA". It matches the Rfam family "Bacterial small subunit ribosomal RNA", at positions 524 to 776 of the family's 1533-position model. The record is from RNAcentral.
UACAGAGGGGGCAAGCGUUAUUCGGAAUUAUUGGGCGUAAAGGGCGCGUAGGCGGCCUGGCAAGUGGAAGGUGAAAUCCCUCGGCUUAACCGAGGAACUGCCCUCCAAACUGCUUGGCUUGAGUCCGGGAGAGGUGAGUGGAAUUCCCAGUGUAGCGGUGAAAUGCGCAGAUAUCAGGAGGAACACCGGUGGCGAAGGCGGGUCUCUGGGCCGAUACUGACGCUGAGGAGCGAAAGCGUGGGGAGCGAACAGG